GCUCCAUCACAAGUGACCAGACAUAGUUCCCAGUGCUACACAGCAGGAUCCCGCUGCUUAUCCAUUCCAAGGCAAUAGUUUGCAUCUAUUAGAGCUGCUGCAUCCUGAUGCAUCGUUUAGGGACCCUUUGGUCUGUGGAGGGAUCAUUGUGUGGAAAGCAAAGCCAGAUCCACAACUUUGGGCUCCAGUGGGUGCUGGCCACUCGCCAUUUCUGGCUGUGUCUCCCAGUCUACAAAUCCGGAAUGUUGGGGCUUCUGGUGCCCACAUUUACCAUAUGAAAUCCCCUCCUGAUUGCCUACCAGGUCCAUAGUUGAGGCAAGAUCCGGAAACGCAGAGUGUGGCUGAGCCCUUGGGCUCUGGACCAGUCUGCCAGGCUCCCAACCUUCUCCCGCUCCUAUUCAAGUCCAGGGUGAGCCCGUGGGUCGGGACUUAUAUGUUUGCCUCUGCUGCAUGCCAGGUACUGUGCCAAGUGCUUUCCAUGCUCUGCCUCCCCAAACCCUCACAACGCUCCAGUGAGAAGGGGCUGUCACCCUACCCGCUUUCCAGAGAGAAGUGGGGAAGCCACUUGCCUGAGGUCCCAGAGCUCGUGAGCGGUGUGAUGCUGGGCAAGGCACUUCACCUUUCUGAGCUUCGGUUUCCUCAUCCGUACAAUGCAGUGCAGGGCGCUAUCUCUCUGGGCGUGGUGACGCUUGCACGGGGCAAUGCACACAGCACCUAGCAGAGCGCUGAGCACAUGCUAAACACUCACUGGACACAGCCACUUAACAGUAGAGCUGAGGUUAACCUCCACGUGAAGAGAGAGAAAACCCAGUGUCUCUAGCACAUCCCUCCGUGAUCCGAUCCUGCAUGUAAGUGUUUUCUGUGUCCCGUGUAAGCUCCCUGAGGGCAGGUGCUUGGUCAGCCUGUUGACUGCUGCUUCCUGGGGCUUUGGGUGGCACCUGGCACCAGGUUGGUGCUCGGGGAAAGUUUGAUGAAUGACUGAGUGAAGGACUGCUUGGGGGGCCCCAUGGGCCAUUUACCGCAUUGGACAGCCCCUUCCCCUCACAUCCUUUGCCUGGCGGCUGUGGCCUGAGCGGAUCUGUCUCAUGCCCCAUUGGAUGGACUCUUCCCAGGUCAGGGGAGCCUGGGCCCCGGCUGCCCACUGCUAUCUUCCCCAAGGAGAAGAUGCUUAGAGCUGGCAGUGCAGUUGAACUUCCUUGCAGCCUGCCGUGGAUGCAACAGGAUCUCUCUUCUUGGGCGGGAAGUGGAACGUGUUGAAAGUCUUGUGGGAGGUGGUUACAGACCUUGGGAGGCGGGCCAGCCAGUGGGCAGCUUCGGUGCCUUGGUAUCUUAGAGCUGGGGCUAGGCUGAUGGCAACUAUCCAGGUUUGAGGUCCCUCCACUCAUUACACAGGUGAACAUGGUUUGAAACCAUCCGCCCUCCUCCCUGGGAUGGCACGGGGAGUGGCUGCUUAUGCUCUGCUCCCUGGAGCCCCCCCCCUCCCCCUGCAACGUGCACUGAGAAGAUGAUCCCACUCUUGGUCCCCUACGAGUCCCUUAUUUGGAAAAGCCACCCCCACCCCCUGAGUGAAAUAACUGUUGGACUGAAUUCUGACACCGCCACCUACCCUGCCCUCCGGGAGCAUUAGUCCUGGAAGAGCCCACGGCUCUGGGAAACCUCGUUUCCCUGAAGACCUCUGCCCUCUGCUCAGCCAAGUCUUCUAUGCCAAAGUGAGAGUGGGGGAGCCCAAGGAUGAGGAGAAUGACCAUGACGAUAAAUUUCCAGGCAGAGCCCAGCCCCCAGCUCCCCCCCCCCAGGAAGCCCUGAGCCCUCCCUUCGUCCUUUUCAAAAUAGGAGCCCCCACCUUUCCAAUUUCCUCUUGUGCCUCUUCUCCAUCUCCCGGCCCCCGCCUCUGCGUGACCACGUGGCGUGCAGGCAGCCCAUCUGGGGCUCAGGGGAUCCUAUUGGGUAUGCCAGCUUAAUGAAAUACUUGCAGUUUAUUAAACACAGCCUUCCCUAAGCCCCGAGCGCCUGUGGGUAUUUGCAAGCCCAAGGUAGCCCCGAGCUACCACACACGUAAUUGUUACAUGUGUCCUUGCAUUCUUGGUGCAACCUCAAAACGCCGGCUCUUAAGCAGCACACAAAAUGAGCAACAUAAAGUAAUUCCUGGUCAGACAAGAGGGGGAAAGGUGGGGAAACACUGAGAGAGGCUCCCAGAACCCCUUAGGACCUCUAAAAUAUAUGAAGUUCCUGUUCCGUUGCAUAGCUGUGGCUGCGGAGGGCGCUCCCCCGACCCCAGGCCAUUCGUUGUUCGCAGAUUUGGCUCAUCAGUGCUCCGCAAACCUGCUUGUCAGCUUUGAAUGAUGUAGCUUGGUAUAUGAGGUCCUGUGCCAGCCGAGGCUGGCUCUGGCUGGCCAGAGGGCCUAGCAAAGCUCCCUGUCCCGGGGCUCCCUCUGGAGCUGUAUUUCUGUUGCUCCUCCAGGGCUUGGCUGGGAAGGACCGUGGAGAAAGCCCAGGGGACCCGGGGCCUGUGGCCCUGGGCCCGGGGGAGGCUGCUCCUGGGGGACGCCUUCCCAUUCGUCUGUCUCCUCGGCCUGGAGCCUGUAAAUCAGGGGCGAGGGGCUGAGAUGGAAGAAGCAGACAAAGGCCUCCAGGGAGGUGCCUCCCUCGAUGCGGACCACCAUCUGGACGCCGGAGAAGGCGACCCUGUUGACGACACUCAGGGGCACCUGCUCCAGGAACCUCAGCGUCAGCCCGUUGACCCACACGCAGCCCUUGCGGCUCAGGGCCUUCAGGCUGAAGGUCAGCAGAGAGCCACCCUUCUCCAAGUAGGGCUCCAGCGACAGGUGCCGGCGGGAGAGGUGCGGGAGCUGCAGCCGGAGGUGGGCCUCCGGGCCCCGGCCCACCAGCAGCGGGCUGAUGUCGUGCUGUAGCCGUGGGGGAACGAGGGUGAAGGUGGUUGGGUCCGGCAUGGGGUGAUGCAG
Molecule: long non-coding RNA, 2963 nt
Filed under: Sus scrofa (pig)
Lineage: Eukaryota; Metazoa; Chordata; Mammalia; Artiodactyla; Suidae
Description: lncRNA (ENSSSCG00005031373.1)
Source: RNAcentral